GAUUUACUGGGCGUAAAGGGCGCGUAGGCGGCCUGUGCAAGUCAGUUGUGAAAUCUCCGAGCUUAACUCGGAAAGGUCAACUGAUACUGCUCGGCUAGAGUGCGGAAGGGGCAACUGGAAUUCUUGGUGUAGCGGUGAAAUGCGUAGAUACCAAGAGGAACACCUGCGGCGAAGGCGGGUUGCUGGGCCGACACUGACGCUGAGGCGCGAAAGCUAGGGGAGCGAACGGGAUUAGAUACCCCGGUAGUCCUAGCCUUAAACGAUGAAUGCUUGGUGUCUGGGGUUAUAUAGUCCCCGGGUGCCGUCGCUAACGCUUUAAGCAUUCCGCCUGGGGAGUACGGUCGCAAGACUGAAACUCAAAGGAAUUGACGGGGACCCGCACAAGCGGUGGAGCAUGUGGUUUAAUUCGACGCAACGCGAAGAACCUUACCUGGGCUAGAAUGCCUCUGACAACCCUAGAGAUAGGGCCUUCUGGGUAAAACCAGACAGAGUGCAAGGUGCUGCAUGGCU
Molecule: ribosomal RNA, 510 nt
Filed under: uncultured Acidobacteriota bacterium
Lineage: Bacteria; Pseudomonadati; Acidobacteriota
Description: bacterial SSU rRNA
Rfam family: Bacterial small subunit ribosomal RNA
Source: RNAcentral